GCAGUAUCGCACAGAAGAAAGUGAGCUGCAGACUGAAGCACGGUGGUGAUGAACAUUUGGGAGAAGAUGAUCUGCAGGAUCCUGCUACUCAUCAUCCUCACCUCAUGUGUCUCUGGAUCAUUUGUAGUCAAUGUGACACAGACCUGCUAUCAGGCAGAGGAGAACCACAACAUCACACUGGAGUGGACGUUCACCACCAAACCUGACAGAUCCACCAAAACUCUCAACGUCCUCUGUGAACUGAUAACUGAGCGUACAGAUUCAGUCCUGUAUCGUGUUCAAGAAGGUGUUGAGGUGUCAGAGUCUCAGGAUGAAAAGUUUUCAGGACGAGUUGAGAGUGACAAAGACGCCCUCAGAGAAGGACGAAUCAGACUUCAACUGUUUAGACUCAGGACUGAUGACUCGGGUCUGUACCUGUGUGAACUGAACACAGAUUAUGGCUUUGGCUCAGCCAGAUGUAGACUCAGCAUCAGUGCUUCGGAUGACCCCAAACGUCCAAGUCCAACAGUGAACACACAACCAGAGAGUCGAGGAUGGCUCAACCUCUGGGUCUGCAGUGGAAGAUUUGUGGGAGCAUCAACCUCAGUGAGAGCUGAGAAACACUGUCUGCAGUCUGUAGCCAUCAUCAAAAACACUGAUGGAAACAUUCAAAGCUCUUGUCACGUAUAUCAUUAAUAAUAUUUCCUUCCUCUUUUGGUUCUAACAUUUGUUUUUGUUAGAUAUGGUAUGAGGAAUCUUUAAUUUUUGUCCAUUAGCAUCCAGAGUGAUUGAAAUCACUUGUUGUUCUCCCAUCAGCUGUUAUAAAUUAGUACUGGUUAAAAUGUGCCUGAACUCAAGUUGUUAAAGGAAUUCUAAGUGUUACAGUGAACUCCUAAUAAUUUGACUAUGGAUCACCAUAGGUAGAAUUUACUUUUUCUAAAGUUAAUGUUUAUGUGUAUAUAUUGUAAACAAGUCCUUAUUUAUAUGAAAGAAGUUAUGAUUCUUCUGUAUAUGUGUGUGUCCAAAUCAUUUUAUCAAAGGGUCAGAAGAUCUUAAAGAGGUCUAUAAUACCAAGUGUAAUCUAACAUGUUUGGUACUAUUACUUUACAAGGUGUAUUACAAGAAGGACAGGAGUUUGAUAAUUAUUUAAAAUAUAUAAAACACUGAAUGUGUACAUAUAAAGCAACAAAGUUGUUUACGCCAACUCUUAAUCGUAACAUUAUUCUACUUAAAGAAUAUUUAGUUGGCGUUGAAAUGACUUUUUCUCUCUCAGCACUGAAAAUCUAACACUUGAUUCUGCUGAGUUUUUCUGCUAUCAGCUUCUGUCUCUGCUUUCAUAAAAUAAAAUGAUCGAUCUUUUUGAUCAACAACACAAACAAUGGUGGUGACACUUUCUGUCGAAAAACACUGCGGCAUGAUGGGAACAGCUGCAGUUGUUUACAUAAAUCAGGGGUGUUGAACUCCAGGUUUUGAGGGCCGGUGUCCUGCAGGUUUUAGAUCUCACCCUGGGUCAACACACCUGAAUCACAUGAUUAGUUCAUUACCAGGCCUCUGGAGAACCACUUUAACUGGUUUUGAACUGGUUCUAACUGAUUAUAGUUGUUGUCAGCCAGUUGUGGCAGAUGACUGCCCCUCCCUGAGCCUGGUUCUGCAGAAGGUUUCUCCCACUUUAAAGUAGUGAUGGGCAGAUGAAGCUUCAUGAAGCACUGAAGCUUUUCAUCCAAUUGGUUCACCCCAGUGCAAAGCUUCUUGAAGCUUCAUUUGCUCUAGUAGGACACCUACUGGACGUAAAAAUAUUAGUUGGCAUGAAUUUGAAGUGUGUGGCCUUUUGCACACAGCCUGUAAAUGUCAACAACAAAAGGAGUGUGUAAAACAUCUAUAUUGUAUUGAUGGCAGUAUACUGUGUAUAUUUAUACUGGCAGUAUGGAAAAUGAUCAUUUGGAAAUGCUUAAAAUGGAAAUAAUCAUUUACUGUGAGGUGAGGUGUGGUUGGGGUAUGGACAGUGGUUGUGCUCUUGUAACGUUGAGGUAUGGACAGCUACACACUGAGGCGUCAGUCCUGCCCAUAUUCUAUUCAGUAAAAACUAAAUUUUCACUGCUUUUAUAACCUUUAGUGGGGAGAGCAUAGCUAGGAUUUAAUGAUUUAACAAAUCUUUUGAAUCCUUUGUCCUCCACAAUGCUAAAUGGCUGGGAGUCCUCAAUCACCAUGCUAACCAGG
Molecule: long non-coding RNA, 2196 nt
Organism: Astatotilapia calliptera (eastern happy)
Lineage: Eukaryota; Metazoa; Chordata; Actinopteri; Cichliformes; Cichlidae
Source: Ensembl